AACCCUUGUCCUUAGUUACCAGCACGUUAUGGUGGGCACUCUAAGGAGACUGCCGGUGACAACCGGAGGAAGGUGGGGAUGACGUCAAGUCAUCAUGGCCCUUACGGCCUGGGCUACACACGUGCUACAAUGGUCGGUACAAAGGGUUGCCAAGCCGCGAGGUGGAGCUAAUCCCAUAAAACCGGAUCGUAGUCCGGAUCGCAGUCUGCAACUCGACUGCGUGAAGUCGGAAUCGCUAGUAAUCGUGAAUCAGAAUGUCACGGUGAAUACGUUCCCGGGCCUU
This 283-nucleotide ribosomal RNA is filed under the name uncultured Pseudomonas sp. RNAcentral describes it as "partial 16S ribosomal RNA". It matches the Rfam family "Bacterial small subunit ribosomal RNA", at positions 1100 to 1382 of the family's 1533-position model. The record is from RNAcentral. Lineage: Bacteria; Pseudomonadati; Pseudomonadota; Gammaproteobacteria; Pseudomonadales; Pseudomonadaceae.